UCAUGUUGUUUAAUUCGAUGAUACGCGAAGAACCUUACCAGGUCUUGACAUCCCCCGCGAUGCUUUAGAGAUAAAGCGGAGGUAUUCGGGGAGACAGGUGGUGCAUGGUUGUCGUCAGCUCGUGUCGUGAGAUGUGGGUUAAGUCCCGCAACGAGCGCAACCCUAUUGCUAGUUACCAUCAUUAAGUUGGGGACUCUAGCGAGACUGCCAGUGAUAAACUGGAGGAAGGUGGGGAUGACGUCAAAUCAUCAUGCCCCUUAUGACCUGGGCUACAAACGUGAUACAAUGGCUGGAACAAAGGGAUGCGAAGCAGUGAUGUGGAGCGAAACCCAUAAAAACAGUCUCAGUUCGGAUUGAAGUCUGCAACUCGACUUCAUGAAGUCGGAAUCGCUAGUAAUCGCGGAUCAGAACGCCGCGGUGAAUACGUUCUCGGGGUUU
RNAcentral lists this ribosomal RNA (438 nucleotides) under uncultured Acholeplasma sp. RNAcentral describes it as "bacterial SSU rRNA". It matches the Rfam family "Bacterial small subunit ribosomal RNA", at positions 937 to 1382 of the family's 1533-position model. Lineage: Bacteria; Bacillati; Mycoplasmatota; Mollicutes; Acholeplasmatales; Acholeplasmataceae. The record is from RNAcentral.